This is a long non-coding RNA of Sapajus apella (tufted capuchin), 120 nucleotides long. RefSeq lists it as uncharacterized. The record is from RefSeq and is a predicted model, not a curated record. The transcript is spliced from 4 exons. Lineage: Eukaryota; Metazoa; Chordata; Mammalia; Primates; Cebidae.
GUCCGGCUUAAAAAGCUAACAUAAAGCCUGAACAGCUUUUAGUCUGAGAAAGAGAGAGUUAGUUUUAGCUGGCAAAAAGCAGGUUAUCACAACAGGAUUAUAUCAAAGGAAAGGAAUGAG